Molecule: regulatory RNA element, 86 nt
Organism: Firmicutes bacterium CAG:124
Lineage: Bacteria; Bacillati; Bacillota
Rfam family: Glycine riboswitch aptamer
About the family: This family represents the bacterial glycine riboswitch. Glycine riboswitches usually consist of two metabolite-binding aptamers domains with similar structures in tandem. The aptamers cooperatively bind glycine to regulate the expression of downstream genes.
Source: Rfam
AUGAACGAAUCAGGAGAGGGCAUACCCGUAUGCCGCCGAAGGGGAACGCGCAACGAACUCUCAGGCAAAAAAACUGAUUCCGGACG